Molecule: ribosomal RNA, 238 nt
Filed under: uncultured bacterium
Lineage: Bacteria
Description: partial 16S ribosomal RNA
Rfam family: Bacterial small subunit ribosomal RNA
Source: RNAcentral
UGGCGGACGGGUGAGUAACGCGUGGGUAACCUGCCUCAUACAGGGGGAUAACAGUUAGAAAUGACUGCUAAUACCGCAUAAGACCACAGCACCGCAUGGUGCAGGGGUAAAAACUCCGGUGGUAUGAGAUGGGCCCGCGUCUGAUUAGGUAGUUGGUGGGGUAACGGCUUACCAAGCCGACGAUCAGUAGCCGACCUGAGAGGGUGACCGGCCACAUUGGGACUGAGACACGGCCCAA